UGGCUGCUUGUCACUCACUCUCAAAAUGUCUCCAAGUCUCAGACUCUCUCAAUUGAUAAAUACAAUACAAUCUGUCACCCCUUGGCAGUUGCUGUAGCCUGUAGAGAGCCACUGAAUACACUUGGGGGGGCUUUUAAUAUAGGAGAAGGAGAGAGCAAAUGAGUCGGUGACUCGCCCUUACCGCGGUGGGUGGGCAUAGCCGCAUAAGCAUAACCACGGUUUCAUGCCCAUAAUAAUAUAGUUGGAGCCAAGGUGGGUCCCACUAUGUCAAGAGGCGAAGAGUCUCCGAGCAUUGAGGUGGCAGGAUCUGGGUGUGAGCGCCUCCACCGUGCUUUGUGCGACUGCCACCGCCGCGUCCCGCCGGGGCCACCGCGAGAUGUUGCUUGCCGCCACCUGAACCGCUCACUCGCCGAUUGCCUCGUUUCUAUUGCUUGCCCUGCGGAGAUGGACGCUGUGCGAAGCCUCUGCUCCAGCAGUGGAACCCCUCUCAAGCGUUCUCAGUGCCAAGAAGCUAAACUCGCCCUUUCUAUCUGUCUCUCCUCCCAUCAGAACCCAUAGAUCCUAACCCAUAUCAUAUAGAUUUCAGUUUCAGAAUCUGAAUUGUUCAAAUUUCGCCAUGGAAUUGUUAGAGAGAAGCGAGUUCAAGUGUUUCUGAGGAAAAAUUAUUCUGUACGUUUCAGGAACUUGAAAUUUGCUAAGCUUGGGUUUGCUGGGAGAUGAUAUCGUGCAUUCACUGGUGGUUGGAGUCUGGUGCAACCUCAGUGGAAAAUUGAAGAUUGUCUUAUGAUUUUGGUCUGUAAUUAUAUUUUAUGAUUACAUUAUUCAUGAAUAAUUUUUUUUCCCCUCUUCAAAUAGUUCUUUCUGCAGGGAGAUAAAGAACACUGCUUGGACGGAUCUUGUUGUCUGAUUGACAAGAAUUAUAUACUUUCUAAUGAAGCCAUGACCAAUUUGGUACAAA
Macadamia integrifolia is the source of this 958-nucleotide long non-coding RNA. RefSeq lists it as uncharacterized. The record is from RefSeq and is a predicted model, not a curated record. The transcript has 3 exons. NCBI's taxonomy places the organism in Eukaryota, Viridiplantae, Streptophyta, Magnoliopsida, Proteales, Proteaceae.